UGAGCCAAGAGUCGGGAGCGGAGUUAACCCUAGAAUUGGAGAAUUGGAUCAGGUGAUGAGAUGAGUGGGAGACGAGAGAGCGAAGGCGGAGGCAGUCUUGGGUGGUGGACGCGCGAGCCUCUCUUCUGCUUGGUUUCUUUUCAUUCUCCUCCUCCAAUCUAGACUAUGUGGGCUUUGUUAUUAUAUGCAUCGAUUCCGGCGUCGUCCCGGGUGAUCUACUUGACAGAAGAGAGUGAGCACACAGCGGCGUGGGUGUCGCCGGGAUGCCGUCGCCGUUGCGUGCUCACGUCUCUCUCUGUCAUCCCUGUCUCCCUGGCGGUGCCGGAUGAGAGAAAUCUGCUCUCCUUUUCCCUUUUUCUUCUUUCCUUGCUUCUUUGAUCUUGUGUGAUGAGGGUUGAUGACGGUGACGAUGAUGCGAUUUGGUGAAAGAGGCAACCUUGCGUGGGUAUAUCGAUGGUGGAUCUGAUUGGACGCUCGUGCGAGGCAGGCUUUUCCUUUUCCUCCUCCUCCUCCUCGAACUUCGAUGCUGUCUUGACUAGUUUCGCUUGUCUUUUUAAUCAGCUUGGUUUCCCAAGUACUGCUACUACUACUAGUUUUGGGUCUAUUUCAGACUUGGAGAGACUGGAACUUAUGGAUCAUGGAAGCGUGACUUUUGAGACGAUUGUUUCGGAUAAGGGCGAAGUACAUGAUCCAUCCAUAUGCCUAUUGUCUUCUCUCUCCUUUCCUUCUCCGCUUUCUUCCUCUUUUCCUUUCUAGUCUUCGUCAAGAUCCAUGCCCAAAACCCAUCCUCAAGAAUUCGUUGCGUUCUUCUUGGGCGUAGAUCAACUGUAAUAAUCGUGUAGUGGAUGCAGCACCUCUCACUUUGGAGCUAUCAGGUCACUUAUCUCCACUUGUUGCUUCAGUUAAAAUUUGCUUCGCUCCUGCAUCAAAACCACCAUUGACGUGGUCCUCCAUUCUCUCGCUGGAAGUCGGAUUUCGUUCCAUGGUCGACAUUCUAUACCAGUGUUUGGUAGAGAAGCAAGUUGAGGAAAAGACUUGUCUGCUUUUAGGUUCAUGCAGUGGAGGUUCUGGUUUCUGUGGUCUCAGCUACUCGCUCCCAGAAAGUUCUCCUUUUGCUUAAGGUAAUGAGACAGCUCUUCGUAACUUCCUUGUCGCUAAUGUUUUCCACCAAGUUGUGUAGUUAUACCUUUGUAGUGUGACACACUUGAUAUCUGUUAGACGACUAAUUCAUGGCUUUUAUUAGGGGAAUGUGUAAGAAGUUAGGAUUAGGUAUAUAUUUUAUGUCAUCAUGAGAACCUUGAACACAAAUAUGAUAAAUUGAUGACAAUCGCUAAGAGGAUGACACUUGACCUCCUGAUCUCGCGCAUCGAGUGCAAAAUUCAUGUUUUGCCUUCUUGAUGAGGGAGAUGUGUGGGGAUGAUAUGUCCUCGUGUUUAACUAUCUUAUAAAGUUGGCUGACAGAAAAUUUACUAGAGGACUCAGUUGAUACAUGUUCUUUAAUGUUAAUUAACAUGCGCGAUUUAACAAAUUGUAUCUCGGCUUAGAAUAUACAGGCAUCACUUGCCUUUUCUUUAUUCCAUCAUGAAAAUCCAAUUUACUUCUAAGUUCUAACUACAUCUUUUGUGGGUAUCAAAGUAAUAUGAUGCUUAAAAUGUGGCAAACUAAACUAAUUGUGGUUGAGUGAUCUCUAUUGAAGAUGCAAGUGCAGUCUCUUGGACUUGGAUUAUAUAUAGAACGUAUAUGGAGGUAAGAGUGAUGACAUGAUGGAUUGUGGCAUGGAGUGAAUGGGAUGGAUGGAUUUUGUUGGUUCUAAAUAAUAUUUUUAUGUGUAGAAGGCAAGAAAGUGAGCUUUCUCAAUAGAUUAAGACUUGGCUUUUGACUGAAUCCUUCUUCAACUCUUGGUACGAGAUAGUCAAGCUAUAUGUAACAAAAGGUAAACAAAUUAGAUAGAAACUUUUAACAUUAUUUGUGCAUCACGGGAUGAGCACAUCAUGAGGACAGAAGGGUGUAUUCAGUCAAAACUGUCAAUUCAUAGAAAAGAAUUCAACAUGGUGAUUCUUAUCCAGAAACACAAAAGAAAUCCUUGUCAUUAGGACCACCUCUCUCUUAGUCAUGUGGAGACUUUUAUCCAAUUGGCCACUUUUUCCUUAGUCAUAUGGAGACUUCUACCCACUUUUUUCCUAGUCAUAUGGAUAACACUUCUACUCAAAUUAUAUGUGUCAUUCUAAUUUUUGUAUUUAUUUUCGGAUGCAUUUGGUUUUGUCUUAUGAUGCAAAAAAUUUUACGUUGUCUUUUUCCAUUACAAUCUUUGAUCAUAUCAUGUACUUGUGACUUAAUUUGUCUCACUCAUUUGUUGGUCAUCUUUGAGCUACAAUCCAUCACUCUGAUGCUUAAGGCAGUUUUAUUUAUUUAUUUCGGAAUGUAUGUAGCUCUUUCCUUAUAAUCGAGAAUGGAUCAGUCACACACAGAAAAAGAUAAGAUGGAUCUGAGUGAUAGAUGGAUAUGUCACACGGAGAAAAAAAUAAUAUGCAUAUGAAGGUAUAUAGCCCCUCCCUUAAUCACCAAUGGAUCUACCACACGGAGAAAAAAUAAUAUGCAUCUGUGAUGUGGCUUAGUCUCCUGAACCCUAGCAGAAGAUUCAGGAUAAUGGUUUAGUAUCGUUCUGAUAUAACUUAUUAAGAGCACAUAACAUUCCUGUUUGAAUGAUCUUUUCAGUUUAGGAAAACAUCCCAUUUUGAAUCAUCCUGACUUUUAUAAUUUUUCUUUCAUUUUGUAUUAAACAUAUGUACUCUUCUCUAUCCAUUAUUCUGGUUGACUUUAGUCGUUAUUGUGAAUCUUGUGCUCCAUCCGUUGCUUCUUAUAUCCGCUUCAUCCAAUUUGCUCUAAGAUCAAGUAAUUCUGACUAGCUUAACAUAAUUGGUUUCUUCGUUAAGACUGACCACCUUUCAAUUGUCAGCUUGUGUGAAAACCAAAAACUAUUUAUUAACAUAAAUAUAGGGUUUGCUGUGCCAACCUGUAUCACUUAAUACCGAGAUACAUACUAGUUCGAUGAGAUAUCGGUACGAGGAUCGUCCUUUACCAGGUGAUAUCAUCACAUGACCUUGUAUCGAACGAUACGAUAUUUUUAUCGAGCGAUAAUGGUUGAAAUCUGAUCAUUAUUGUUCGGAAAUCCAAUCAUUACCAACUUAUGCCAGUUGGUAAAGGUCAAGUUUUGACAUUUACUAAUCAAGGGUUGAGAUUUCUCUAUUUCAAAUAGUCAAAUUAAUCGUUUAAGGCUUAAAAGAAGGUUUUUAAAUAUUUUUCUUCCUCUUUCAAUUCAUUUUGCUCUCUCGAUCUCUUCAACUCUAUUAGCUUGUGACACCCUGAUUGAUUACGACGAUUAGACUACACCUUGUAUCGAUAGCCUCGGACAUGUGGUUCACGACGAUCAGAUUACGACCAUCAUCACAUUGUUGCACUGAUGACAUAUGGUGUAUCAGUACACUAUGUCAUGGGAUCAAUUUUAGGAUUGAGUCUGACAAACAUAUCAUAUUAAUAUACAGAUAUAUAGGAUCAAGGACCCCAAUACAUCACUCGUGGAGUCUUAACGUUCUUUUUAGUGGUAGAACCAGAUAUAUUCGUUGAUUAAUUAUUUAAUUCAUUUGAAUCUUAAAGUUUAAGUUAUUUAAAAAAUAAUCUAACAAUCAAAUUAUUUCUUUGUAGAUAAUUAAAUAUUAAUGGGAGGACGAUUCAAAACAUACCGUAAAGUUACUCCUCAAAGCUCAAAAAAGGUGUCAUUAUUAUUUCCUAAUUUACAUUAUUUAUGUUAAAAUUAUACUAAAAUUAUAUUUAUUUUUAACUUAAAAAUCCUAAUCUAAUUUUUUUUUAAUUUUUUAGAUAUUCUUGAAGUUGUUUUUGAUAAUUUUGGUUGUAUCAUUGGUAUGUCCCUAUGUAUCAUCGGUACACCUCGGUACAUAUCAUACCGAUACCUAAUCGAUACAUCGGUACAUAUCAAAAUUGCAAACCUUAUAUAAAGAUUUGUUUGUCUGACAUUUUAGGCUAGUGAAGAAUUAAGAUACGGGUGUUGUCAGAUCCAGGAAUCAUUAGCAUUUGUUUUGAUGGAAAACUAGGUCAAUGAAUACAAGAGACUGCCAUGGAUGGUGUUUGAUUGCAAGAGACUGCAAUGUCACCCUUACUCCUUGUAUUACAUUUGUUCAAUAGUAUUUAAAGUAAAAAUUAAUCCCAUAGGAAAAAUAGUCAAUAUGGAUUUAUUUAUUACUAUGUAAGCAUUUUACCACUUUCUACCCUUAGAAUGGCAUGACUUUGUUGACUGGCUUCCUCUAUAUGAAGUGAAACGUUUCUUUUAUUUUCACAUGAGGUCUGUGUUAUUUGGAAGGCGAUACUAUUCUUAUAGGUAAUGUAGAAUUUGAAAUUGAAGUUUAGAUAGUAAAGAAGGUGAUGUAGAGAAAUAGAGAGAGAGAGAUUAAAAAUUAGAGGAGAAAAAAAGAGGAGUGAGAUUAGAGAUUAAAGGGAGAGAAAGAGAGGAGAAAAAGAGGCUAGAAGAGAGAAAAUGUAAUUCUUUUUCAUUCAAAUCUGAACAGUUUCAUCCAUUGAUAAGCUCCGGUUUAAGAGCCUUAGUAUAAUCAACCUAGGUAAUGAUUUCUGAUAAGCUCCGGUUUAAGAGCCUUAGUAUAAUCAACGUAGGUAAUGAUUUCUAAGAGUAAUCUCUUAGAGAACUUGUAUGUCUUUUAUAAACCCAAAAUAUAACUCCUAAAAUAUCUAAACAACUUUAAAAUAACUUAUUAUAACUGAGAAAAAAAAGAGUACACUUAGAUACAAAAGUAAACUCCCAAAGGUAGCACCUAAAAAGGUUAAAGAUUCUUUAAUUUUUCAAACAAUUCUCAGAGUUUCUAAGCCAACUAAUUAAUGACUUUUUAUUGAUUUUCUUAUCUAGAAUAAAUUAUUCUAAUAUCCUUUAUAAAACUAGAUGAUUCUCCAUUAGAAAGAUUUUCCAAAGUAUGCCUCCUAAAAAACCUAUAGGAAAUUGAAUCAUCAUAUCGGCUUGUCAAAUCUCUUCAUAUGUUUCUCCAUGUCCAAACCCUCAAUUGAUCUUUCUUUCGAAGCUUUUCAUCUUCCUCUUCAAUCCAUCUUAUUUCUUCCAAGUGAUUGCUAUAUUCCAUUAAAGAUUAAUACUAUAUGAACAAAAAGGAGCUAGCAGGAGUCUCUAUGCUAUCUCACUAGUGUUGAAUUGUUACUUGGAAGGAAGGGGAAGAGUAACACACAAAACAAUGGUGCCUUACGGUAUAAAUGGAGCUGCAAAUAUAAUACAAGCAGACAACAGUUGAAUGGGCAUUUGUGAGCAAUGAAUUAAAAAGCGCUAGGCGUCAAAAGGUACCAUGAUCCAAAAACGCCCGAGGCGAUCGGGCCAUCUCUCGAGUGAAGUGAUGCGCUAAAAAUUAAUAAUAUCAAAAUUAAUAGUAUUAAAAUCAAAAUAAUAGUGUUAUACUGUAUAUAGUAAAUAGUAUAUUAUAUAUUGUUAACAGUAUACAAUAUAAUAGUAUACUGUAUACUUUUAACAGUAUACUUUUGAUUUCGAAAGAGGAGAAGCGAAAGAGAAGAGAAGAGUGUAAGGGAAGAUCGAGGGUGUUGAGAAAAGUGAGAGCGGCAGUGGUAGUGGCAACAGUGAGCGACGACAGUGGCAGUGGCAGUGGCAGCGGUAGCAGUGAGCAACGGGAGCGGGAGCGACGAGCGGUGACAGAGGCAGCGACAGCAGCGAGCAGCGAUUGCGGGAGCAGGAGUGACGAGUGGCGACAGUGGCAGCGAUAGCGGCAGCGGUAAAAGCUAGUGACAACAGCGAGCAGUGGGAGCAGCGACAGCGGCAGCGAGCAACGUAAACAGCGAGCAGAGUUAGGGUUGGGGAAGUCGCACUGAUAUCGAUGCUUUAGUUGGUUCAAUUGAACCAACUAAAGCACCGAAGAUCGAACCAGACCUAAACUGCUAGUUCGGUCGCCUGGUUUAACCCAGGCGCUCACCCGAAAUGCCUGACGCUUGAGCUCUCGGGCGAGCGCCUAGGUGGCGCCUCUUUGAAGCACGCCGUCUAGAAAUGAAGCGAGGCGCUCGGGCCUCACCUCGUCUCCUCUCGCCCGAGUGCCUAGGCGAGCGCCCGAGCGCCUUUUUAAAUCACUGUUUGACUGAGCCCUUGCAAUCUUUAAAUAUCAGGCAUGUUCAACACAUGAUUCAGAAAUUUUGAUGGCCAGGACCGGUAUUUCUGAUCCUGAUCUAUUUGGUAAGUAGAUUCUGCGACCUGGCCAUGGUGUGAAACAUGUAUCUAUAAUUGAAAAACAAGUGAUAGCAAUUUUCAUUUGUACUGAUAUCGCAUAUGUAAGAGUGAGUAUUGCCAUGCAUUUCUUUUUUACUUGGCUUCGGUUGGCAAUCUGCUGUACAGUAAUGCCACAUAGACACACUUAAUCUUGAGUUCCAAACUUUUCUUUCCAUAUUUUGUUGAAAUUACUGUGUUUUGUGAUUUACAGGUCUUCAUCAUUUAAGAGUUUAUCAUUAAUUAUUGGCAAAUAUUUCUAUUAGCUGUCCAUCACCACUUGAUGCUCUACUUUUUUCUUCGUCGACCCAGGAACAUGAACCAUAUUUAGCAGUUCGAUAACUUGAUUUACAAAAUUGUAGGAUCAUGAAUUAACAUUGAGGUUUUUCAUUUCAAUUUCUUGGAAGAAGAGACAAGUGAUUCAUAAAUACAUUAUAUAAAUCCUUUCAGAUCCAUCAUAAUGAAAAUUAUUUUUAUUUAAUUUUAAUAAUAAAUUCUUGGUUACCUUUUAAAUUAGGGUAAUUCUGACUAAGAGGCCAUAAUUGAAAUGCUACUAAAAUUUAAGAAAGCCACAAAAGCUAAAUAAUAUCAUUACCUAGGUAGUUUAAUAAGAUUUUCAUACAGUUUAUUUUACAAAAAAAAAAAAAAAAUCUAUAGAUAGGACAGUGAGAUGAAGCUCAGAAAAGAUUUUAAGAACAUUAGUUAUCAAAGAACGCAUUUUGGUCAAACUUUGGUUGUUUGAUUAUAAUUUUUGAAAGAGCUUUUGGGAGAAGUUAAAGAACUUCUUCAGGGAGGAUCAAAAUGUCCUCCAGAUUUUUGCUUUAAAAGAUUCUUUAAUUGAAUAUCUUUUGACAUCAGCGUCUAUAUUAUUGUUGAUACCAUUACUCAUACUGUUAUUAUCAUCACUGCCAAUAUUAUUGUUUCAACAUUGCCACCGUCUUUUGCCAUCUUCAUUGCUAUUACUACCAUCAUCUACUAUCAUUAUCAUCAUGACUGUAACAACUGUCUCUAUCAACCUGUGAUCGUUAUCAUUCAUUAUUGUUGUUGUUGCCUCCAGUAUUAUCAUUAUCAACAAUACUAAUCUUCAUCAUUGCUACUGCUACCAUAAUCACGGACCAUUAUCAUUAUUACCAUCUCCAUCAUAAGAAUGGUCUUCAUCAUCACCUUUAUAAAUACGACCGCAAGCACCUUCAGCCAUUGCUAUUGUUAUCAUGAUUAUCAUCGUCGGUGCCAACGCCACAAUCCCUCCACCAUUAUCAAUUGCUUGGUCAAUUAUUUAUUUGACUACAAAAGCAAAAUCUGUUGGUAAACGCUAAAGCAUUUCCUAUAUUCAGGUUUAGAAUGAGCUUUUCCUAAGUCCACCUUGUUGAAAGUGAAACAAGAUCAAAGGGGUUGGAGUGGUUCAGAUUUGAUAAAGUCGAUCUUUUUUUUAAGGCUUUAAGCAAUCUUAAAUUUUGGAUGGAUCAUGUUAAGAAAAGUUGUAGAAUUUUUGGUAGAAACCUUAUAGGGUUCAAAUUUAAUAUGGCACAUUAGAGUCAAAAUUAAAUUGUUUAUACAAUUUUUAACUAGUUCAAUUUCUGCAUGGAUCGUGUUAAAGGACUAUGAUAAUAGUUUUAUCCUUCGGGUGUCAUAUUGUGUUAAUCAAUGUUACGAUAAUAGUUUUGUCGUUCGGGUGUCUAAUUGUGUUAAGCAAUUUUAUCACCAGCCUCCUGAGGAUGAAUACUCAAAAGACUCUUUAAUAUACUUUUUACACUAAACCAACUCUAACAGCGAAGUUUGUGAUGUGUUAAGCAUGUUUUUUUACAUCUUUGAAAGUUGGCCAAUCUUGAAGGUGGAAGGUUAUAUAUUUUGUACUUUUCGACAACCUACCCUAAAGCUAAUGGCCGUAAUGUAUUUGGUGUCUGCUUGUUCUCUACUUAGCCAACCCCAAAGGUGGAUGAAUUUUCACUGCUAUGUCAACUCCGAAGGCAAAGGCCUUAAGGUAUUAUAAAACUCAUUUUGUUCUUCACCUGGCCAACCUUGGGGAUGAAGGCAACACACAAUGUUCCAAGCUUAACCAUGAUCAGCAUAGGAUGAAAAAGGUUCUAUUGUAUGCUUAUACCAAUAGGAAAACAAGGACUUAUACAUGAAUGAAUGAGCAAAGGAGACUCUAGAGAAGAUACUAUCAUUGCAUGACAGAGUGACUUCAUCUUGCUGCCAAAGUACUUAUUUGUUUCAACGUGUUCAAAAUAAAAUCGGAUAGAAUUCACGUACAUCUAAUGUGCAGUUAGGUUGAACUCAAUUGGUCAAUGUGUCUGAAACUUUGUGCAGCUGCGGCUAAUUGAGACCAUUAGAGGUUAUUUUAUCUGAGGCAGAUUCAUGGAUUGAACUUUGAAGUACUUCCGAGGAUAAAAUCAUUGUUUUCAGAAAGCACAGAUCAACAUAGUGAAUGUUAGACACACAUCAUGAUCUUGGUAUGAGUAUUCAUGGAACAUAGGCAAAAGAGUAUGUGCUUGGGCAAUUUAUCCAUAGGUGAACCACCCAUAACACAACACACAAACUGAGCAGAUUCUUUCGUUUACUACUGCCUCUUUCACUCCUACCAUUCUUCAUUCAGGGAUGAUACGACACGCGAGAAUGAGCCAAGGCUAGUUUUUUCUGUAAUGGUUCCUAAAAGAAAUUGAGUGCUUAGUGGAUAGAGAGAAAUUUUGAAAGUCCAAUCAGCUAAGUACAGAACAAUAACAUAAUCAACAAUAGAGGAGAGGGAUGAAGAAGAAAUUAGAGACCACCUAUGAUUUCUCAUGUGUUAAAUAGUUAUGUUUACUCUUUGCAAAUGUUUGCUUCUCAUUGUCAAAGAAAUGCCUUUUACACUCAUAAAUGAAGCUUAAAGAUAAAACCCAGAUCAUGCUAGCUAUCCAUCUUUUGAUCUCACAGCGAACUCAAAUCUAAUUCUUGUAUUUUUUUUUACAUUUUCAUGUCUCUAUACAUGCAUGUCUGGCAGCCUUUCUGGUCUUUUUUUUUUUUCGUUUUAAUUUAUCGAUUUUUCAUUCCUGUUUCGUGUAUAAAUCUAGAUCCGAUUCAGCAAUUAGUUCAACAUGGAUAGAUCAGAUGAAACAAAUCGGCUUCUCAUGACAAUUUUUGCAUCGGUCUAGCUGCUUCUUCUUAUUAUUUUUUUUACUUUUCUAAGUAAGAAGCUUAAGUAAGUCAUGCGUUGACAAACCCUUCAUACCGACCGAUUUAAUUUGUUGCAAAGAAACUCGAUCGCAGUGAUAGUAGCUGGAAAGGCCAAACUCCAAUGGAAUUAUUGCCGAAUGUUACUAUAAGAAGCAGAUUCUUUUCCUGCUAGGUGUUCCUUUCAUCUUGUCCAGACUAGCUAUUGCUUGAUGUCCUUACAGAUCUUUCUAGGCUAUCUUCCCGAGGGCUUUAAUCUACUUGAAUAUCUGCAAUUUUGUGUGAGGGAACUGAGACAAGGGCAAUCCAGUAUGAAUGAUAUUGAUCUUGUCCUUUCCUCAUUGAAUCCUCAAUUCACAUUAUGCCUUGCUUUCGACAAAGCUUUUGUUUGCGUCCAUUUCGCGCGUCUUAGUGCUUUUGUUCUGCCUUUUCAUCAAGCUAGUGAUACAGUAUACGUUAGAAGUUGCUAUGACAAGAACUAAACCGAGUUAAGCAACAUUACCAUGUUCAUUAUCUGGGUUUUACUAUUUGCUGCAUAUGUGACGAAGACAUUGAGAUAAAUUUGAACUCAUCAAGAGACAUAUACGCAUCCUAUACUCUCUUUUCAUUUUUAUUGCACUUUCUUGUCCGGCAAUAUGGUGGUAACAAAUUGUGAAGCAAGGAUUUCGGUCUUCUAAGUUGAUGCACAUAAGCAUUAAACGUCCAAAUACAUUAUCUUUCACUACCUUCGAAUAGAACUUUUCCAUGGUUACAAGGUUCUGAAUUGCCAAACUUCAGCAAUGUACCAGUUCUCAGAGAGAGUGAUGGAAUGGUUCUCAUACAUUGGCCAAUAUCAGGAGUUUUGUUUCCUCAUACAGUGCUUGUAACUGAUCUCCAUGAAAAGGACUCUCUUAUUUCAGAGGGGAAAACUAAAAGGGAAGCUGCAGUGCAAUCGAACAGAUGGGAAGAAAGCGUGUUGGUCGUCAUGAAUCUAUCAAAUUGGAUCCAAGAGCUGAAGCCUAAGCCAUGGAAGAAGUGGAGAGAAGAGAUGUCUCCGGAUCGCUGCCAUAACUGUAACUUUUGCCAUGAUGACCAAAGAAAUGCUUGAUGUCAAAUAUUUUGGCUCACAGAAGCAAGGAAAUCAUGGACAUGAGAGGCUUCAAAGAAGAUGAACAAGUAGUAGAGGAGUACUUGCUUGUUCGGACCAUUAAGUACACUUGUUAUUCCGUCUUUUUCUAAUGAGAAUUUGUAGUGUACUGUCUCACAACCUUUGCCGCAUUUGAGGCUUCAACAGUCGAGGGAGGGAAUUGUCAUCCGUCGAGUCUCCUUCGUUGUAGAGUUGCAGUGUGCAAAUCUUCCUUGGUUUUGGUGUUGCAAUGAGCAUUGUUUUAAUGAAAAAAAAUGGCCAUUUUAGA
Molecule: long non-coding RNA, 10839 nt
Organism: Musa acuminata AAA Group (dessert banana)
Lineage: Eukaryota; Viridiplantae; Streptophyta; Magnoliopsida; Zingiberales; Musaceae
Exons: 3
Source: RefSeq, a predicted model, not a curated record